This 906-nucleotide ribosomal RNA is filed under the name Penicillium shearii. RNAcentral's name for it is "LSU rRNA". It matches the Rfam family "Eukaryotic large subunit ribosomal RNA", at positions 38 to 963 of the family's 3401-position model. The record is from RNAcentral. Lineage: Eukaryota; Fungi; Ascomycota; Eurotiomycetes; Eurotiales; Aspergillaceae.
GCAUAUCAAUAAGCGGAGGAAAAGAAACCAACCGGGAUUACCCUAGUAACGGCGAGUGAAGCGGUAAGAGCUCAAAUUUGAAAGCUGGCCCCUUCGGGGUCCGCAUUGUAAUUUGCAGAGGAUGCUUCGGGAGCGGUCCCCAUCUAAGUGCCCUGGAACGGGCCGUCAUAGAGGGUGAGAAUCCCGUAUGGGAUGGGGUGCCCGCGCCCGUGUGAAGCUCCUUCGACGAGUCGAGUUGUUUGGGAAUGCAGCUCUAAUUGGGUGGUAAAUUUCAUCUAAAGCUAAAUAUUGGCCGGAGACCGAUAGCGCACAAGUAGAGUGAUCGAAAGAUGAAAAGCACUUUGAAAAGAGAGUUAAAAAGCACGUGAAAUUGUUGAAAGGGAAGCGCUUGCGAUCAGACUCGCUCGCGGGGUUCAGCCGGCCUUCGGGCCGGUGUACUUCCCCGCGGGCGGGCCAGCGUCGGUUUGGGCGGCCGGUCAAAGGCCCCUGGAAUGUAACGCCUCUCGGGGCGUCUUAUAGCCAGGGGUGCCAUGCGGCCUGCCCGGACCGAGGAACGCGCUUCGGCUCGGACGCUGGCAUAAUGGUCGUAAGCGACCCGUCUUGAAACACGGACCAAGGAGUCUAACAUCUACGCGAGUGUUCGGGUGUCAAACCCGUGCGCGCAGUGAAAGCGAACGGAGGUGGGAACCCUUUGGGUGCACCAUCGACCGAUCCUGAUGUCUUCGGAUGGAUUUGAGUAAGAGCGUAGCUGUUGGGACCCGAAAGAUGGUGAACUAUGCCUGAAUAGGGCGAAGCCAGAGGAAACUCUGGUGGAGGCUCGCAGCGGUUCUGACGUGCAAAUCGAUCGUCAAAUUUGGGUAUAGGGGCGAAAGACUAAUCGAACCAUCUAGUAGCUGGUUCCUGCCG